UACGUAGGGUGCAAGCGUUGUCCGGAAUUAUUGGGCGUAAAGAGCUCGUAGGCGGUCUGUCGCGUCUGCUGUGAAAACUCGGGGCUUAACCCCGGGCCUGCAGUGGGUACGGGCAGACUAGAGUGCGGUAGGGGGAGACUGGAAUUCCUGGUGUAGCGGUGAAAUGCGCAGAUAUCAGGAGGGAACACCGGUGGCGAAGGCGGGUCUCUGGGCCGUAACUGACGCUGGAGGAGCGAAAGCGUGGGGAGCGAACGG
RNAcentral lists this ribosomal RNA (255 nucleotides) under uncultured bacterium. RNAcentral's name for it is "partial 16S ribosomal RNA". It matches the Rfam family "Bacterial small subunit ribosomal RNA", at positions 524 to 775 of the family's 1533-position model. The record is from RNAcentral.